This 484-nucleotide ribosomal RNA is filed under the name uncultured bacterium. RNAcentral's name for it is "partial 16S ribosomal RNA". It matches the Rfam family "Bacterial small subunit ribosomal RNA", at positions 30 to 507 of the family's 1533-position model. The record is from RNAcentral.
AUUGAACGCUGGCGGCAGGCCUAACACAUGCAAGUCGAGCGGAUGAAGGGAGCUUGCUCCUGGAUUCAGCGGCGGACGGGUGAGUAAUGCCUAGGAAUCUGCCUGGUAGUGGGGGAUAACGUCCGGAAACGGGCGCUAAUACCGCAUACGUCCUGAGGGAGAAAGUGGGGGAUCUUCGGACCUCACGCUAUCAGAUGAGCCUAGGUCGGAUUAGCUAGUUGGUGGGGUAAAGGCCUACCAAGGCGACGAUCCGUAACUGGUCUGAGAGGAUGAUCAGUCACACUGGAACUGAGACACGGUCCAGACUCCUACGGGAGGCAGCAGUGGGGAAUAUUGGACAAUGGGCGAAAGCCUGAUCCAGCCAUGCCGCGUGUUUGAAGAAGGUCUUCGGAUUGUAAAGCACUUUAAGUUGGGAGGAAGGGCAGUAAGUUAAUACCUUGCUGUUUUGACGUUACCAACAGAAUAAGCACCGGCUAACUUCGUG